Molecule: long non-coding RNA, 1663 nt
Filed under: Malus domestica (apple)
Lineage: Eukaryota; Viridiplantae; Streptophyta; Magnoliopsida; Rosales; Rosaceae
Description: long non-coding RNA (MDOM_LNC006868)
Source: RNAcentral
GAGUUGAUUAAUGGUUCACCAAUCUACUAGGCUUUGAAUUUCUUGGUUAAUGUUUUGUUUUAAGUGCAUGCUAGCAUGAUUCCGCCUUUAAUUGUUAAUUGCAUGCUAUAUGAUGUUGCUUAAAUGAACAUGUUUUCACAAAAUCAUCCUUCACCUAUAUGUAUGGAUUUUCUAAGAACAAGAGGAUCGUCCUCUAUGAUACAUCAAUUCAACAGGUGAGGCGGCAUCACUUUUUGAAAUAUCUUCUUUGUCAUCCAGUAAGUAUUGGUUUCCUUUUAUCUUCAAGUUUCUUAAAUUUUUAUGGGAAGAAAAUGAAAGUUAUUUUCCAAUUGUGGUGAAAGGAAUGUAUGUAUUAUUGGCAUGAGUAAUCUUUAAGGAAAUAGGAAUGUAAAUAUUAUGUAAAUAUUAGAGUGGAAGCAUAUUUCUUUGUGUCCUAUUUUGUUUUCUUGAAGAACAAGGAUUGUAUGUACUUAUAUACCAAAUUAUGCAAUACAUGAAAAUUAAGCCGUAAAUUUCUAUUUGGCGUCAAGAGCUUGGUUUCGUUCAAUGGUAUUGAUGCGCUUGUGGGUUUUGCAGUGUACAAUUGUUGUGCAAUUGUUAGUAUACGAUUGUUUUGCACCAAUUGUCAAAGCAAUGGUGAAGCUAGGAAUUGUUGGGUGGAGGGGCGAAAAUUUUUGAAUCCUUACCUCCAAUUAGUAAACCGUUUCUCAGUGAAGACAUCACUUCCAUCAUUUCUCGCUUUAUCAAAAUCACAUUUGAAAAGUAGCAAUAACGGCAAAAUGCUACAUCUUUUGCUAUAUUAUACUCCAAUCACUCAAAAUUAUCAAACUAACGGGUGAUAAAACAUCGAUUGUCCUUCCCCAUAACUUAUAGUAUCAUUCCAUUACCUAAAUGUAUAAUGAAAAGAAAAAGUCACUUAAUCCUAGAUGAGUAAAUUGUAGCAAUGGUCCCUGAACUUUACUCAAAUUGGAGCAAUGGUCCCUCAACUAAAAAUCCAUUACCAUUGGUCCCUCAACUUAUCAAAAUGUGUAGCUAUAGUCCUUUUCAUUAAUUUCUUCAAAAUUUUGUCAAAAUAUGUUAUGUUGGAAUAACCAUUUAUUUAAUUAGGGUUCCUCAACUCAUCAAAGUGUGUAAUUAUGGUCAUUUUUGUCAACUACGUAAAAAAUUUUGUCAAAACGAGUUAUGUUUGAAGGACCAUAGCUACAAUUUGGAUAAAGUUAAGGGAUCAUUUCUCCAGUUGAAUUAAAAUUGAGGGACCAAAGGUAAUGGAUUUUUAGUUGAGGGACCAUAGCUACACGUUUUAAUGAGUUGAAGGACCAAUGGUAAUGGAUUUUUAGUUGAAGGACCAUUGCUCCAAUUUGAGUAAAGUUCAGGGACCAUAGCUACAAUUUACUCAUCCUAGAUAGAGUCUACUACAAGUAAUAACUAAUUAGACCAACAAUUCAGCUAAUUAAUAUAAAUAAUUAUAUAAUUUUAAUAAUAAUUAACAAUUAAUUUAUUCAAGAAUCAACAAUUCAAUUAAUCAAUAAUCAACAUUUAAUUUCAUCAAUAAUCAACAAUUCAUUAGUCAAUAACCAUACAAUUCAUAUCAAUUAUUCUAUAUCAAUUAAACAAAAUUUUAUAUUAAACUAUCAAUUAGGGAAAUUAAAUUAAAAAAAAAAAA